Long non-coding RNA from Camelus dromedarius (Arabian camel), 2234 nucleotides. RefSeq lists it as uncharacterized. The record is from RefSeq and is a predicted model, not a curated record. The transcript has 3 exons. NCBI's taxonomy places the organism in Eukaryota, Metazoa, Chordata, Mammalia, Artiodactyla, Camelidae.
GGAAAACAAGUCUAAACUUACUUUCCAGUUGAAAGUGGAAUGGAGAUUUAACGUUGGAAGCCGGGAGAGUCUGUCCUGUGAUGAAGCGGUCUCCGAGCCACUUCCACUGGGACGUCACAUCACUGUCUGGGCCCCUUGCACAGCCUGUGCACAGGGAGCAGAUUCCUCUGUUUCAGGGAAUACAGGCCUUUCUAGGAAAAGGACAGGAUGAACGUGGAUAGGUGGGGCCGGAGGGGUUCUGGAGCAUCUGCACAGCGCUGCUUCCCUGCAUUUCUGCAUCCGGUCCCAUCAGUGCACGAACGUUCCUAGGAGAGAAUUCAGCAGUGCAGCAUCCUCUCCGAGCUCUAUGAGUUGAUCGGCUUCCACUGCAAGUCCGUCUUCUUCAAGUGGGUGGCCCCCGUGCAGCGCGUGGCCCCCGGCAUCCCGGAGCCUGGCGGGAAGGCCUGCUACCGACUCCUUCUGCAGACGCUUCCUGGCUACAGUGUGUCACUGAUUCUGCAGGACUUCAACAAAGGUUUUGGAACUAAAACAUUGCUUCAGUCCGAUUAACCAUGCCUUGUUUGGGCCCUGCUCUCCUGUCUCAUCAGGGUGAAUUGUGAUUCGUGUAGAGCAGGACACAGCAGACUUUUUUCUGUCAAGGGCUUGGGAGUCAAUAUUUCAGGAUCUGCAAACAUCCUGAUCUCUGGUGCAGCUGCUCAGCUCUGCUGUUCAGACGCCAGAGCAGCCGGACAGUCCACACACCCACAGAGCUUUAUUCACAGCAGUGGCUGGGGCUGGAUUGGGUGUAUGAACUGCAGUUUGUCCCCACAGCCUCCUCACUAUUGACGCCUGUACCUGAGCGUGCAUUUGCGACAAUGGGUGAACCUACACUGACACGUCAUCACCAAGAGCCCAUACUUGACACUAGGAUUUACACUUGGUGGUGUGCACUCUGUGGGUUUGGACAGAUGUACAAUGACACGUUUCUACCAUCACAGCAUCAUACAGAGUAGUCUGUCUUAGUGACCCUAAAAAUGCUCCGUGCUGCACCUCAUUCAUUACUCCUUCCCCUCUAGCCUCUGACAGUAACUGAUCUUUUAGUCUCUGUGGUUUUGCCUUUCCCAGAACAGCAUACAGUUGGAAUCAGACAGUUGCAGAACCUUCCCAGAUUGGCUUCUUUCACUUAGUAAUAUGCAUUUAAGAUUCCUCCAUGUCUUUCCAUCCCUUGAUAACUCAUUUCAUUUUAACAUCAUAAAUAGUCCAUUUUCUGCCUGGACCACAGUUUAUUUAUCCAUUCACCUACUGAAGAACAGCUUAGUUGUUUCUGAGUUCUGGUGAUUAUGAAUAAAGCUGCUAUUAACAUCUGUAUGCAGAUUUGUGUGAGGACGUAAUUUUCCAUUUUGUUCAGUAAACACCAAGGAGCACAGUUGCCAGAUCAUAUGGUAAGAGUACGUUUAGUUUUGUAAAAAAUUGCCAGACCGCCUUCCAAAGUAUCUGGGCCAUUUUUCAUUCCCACCAGCAAUGCAAGAGAAUUCCUGACGCUCCACAUCCUCACCAGCAUUUGGUGCUGUCAGUGUUCUGAGUUUUGGCAGUUCUGACAGGUGUGCAGUGAUACCUCGCUGUUUCAGUCUGCAGCCCCUUGAUGACAGAUGCUGUGGAGCAUGUUUCCAUAGAUUUCUUUGGCAUCUAGUUUCCUUCUAUGUUGAGGUGUGUGUUGAGGCAUUUUGCUCAUUUUUAAGCAGGUUAUUCAUUCUUCUUGUUGAGUUUAAAGAGAUUUUGUUGUAUUCUGGAUAUCAACCCUUUAUCAAUGUGUCCCUGCCCUUCACCUGCAGCACCGGGGUUGUCCUUUGGGUCUCAGUGGAGUGUCAGCUCUUCAAAGAGGUUCCCUGUCUUCCCUCAGCCUAAAUACUGUCCUUGAAUUUUUCACUUUCAUUGACUCACUUUGUUGUUUUUAAAUAGCAUUUCCCAUAAUUUGUAAGUACAUUAAAAAAAAGGCAAUGAUUGAACACUGCCUCCCCCACCAGGCUGUGUGCCCUGUGAGAGCAGAGACCCUGUCCCCACUCACCAUGUCCCAUGACAGCACAUGUCACAUGUCCAUGUAAAUGUGUGUAACGUGGGGCCAAACCUGAUGAGCAGCUAUGACGACAUGUGUUGGCUACCAUUCAUUGAAUAGAGUUUGUUUCUUGAUCUUAAUUUUAAAUCACAUGAAUGAAACAUGUUUCUUUUGAAAAAUAAAACAACAAAGCACACCUCCA